AGCGAACGCUGGCGGCAGGCUUAACACACGCAAGUCGAACGCCCCGCAAGGGGAGUGGCAGACGGGUGAGUAACACGUGGGAACGUACCCUUUGGUUCGGAAUAACUUGGGGAAACUCAAGCUAAUACCGGAUAAGCCCUUAUGGGGAAAGGUUUACUGCCGAAGGAUCGGCCCGCUUCUGAUUAGCUAGUUGGUGAGGUAAUGGCUCACCAAGGCGACGAUCAGUAGCUGGUCUGAGAGGAUGAUCAGCCACACUGGGACUGAGACACGGCCCAGACUCCUACGGGAGGCAGCAGUGGGGAAUAUUGGACAAUGGGGGCAACCCUGAUCCAGCCAUGCCGCGUGAGUGAUGAAGGCCUUAGGGUUGUAAAGCUCCUUUACCCGGGACGAUAAUGACUGUACCGGGAGAAUAAGCCCCGGCUAACUUCGUGCCAGCCGCCGCCGUAA
RNAcentral lists this ribosomal RNA (447 nucleotides) under uncultured bacterium. RNAcentral's name for it is "partial 16S ribosomal RNA". It matches the Rfam family "Bacterial small subunit ribosomal RNA", at positions 29 to 523 of the family's 1533-position model. The record is from RNAcentral.